AACGGCCAUACCAUGCUGAAUAUACCGGUUCUCGUUAAAACGAAGUCAAGGAUCAUUGGGCACGGUCAGUACUUGGGUGGGUGACCACCUGGGAAACCGCGUGCCGUUA
Molecule: ribosomal RNA, 109 nt
Filed under: Caerostris extrusa
Lineage: Eukaryota; Metazoa; Arthropoda; Arachnida; Araneae; Araneidae
Source: RNAcentral